Molecule: long non-coding RNA, 1752 nt
Filed under: Canis lupus familiaris (dog)
Lineage: Eukaryota; Metazoa; Chordata; Mammalia; Carnivora; Canidae
Description: lncRNA (ENSCAFG00845028496.1)
Source: RNAcentral
UUUUUUUUUUUUUUUUUUUUUUUUGUUUUUGCUUCCCCCACCCUUUUUCCAUUUCUUUCUUUUUCUUUCUCUUUCUCUUUUUCUUCUCUUAUUUUCUUUUUUUCUUCCUAUUUUCUUUUUCUCUUUUCUCUCCUUCUUUCUCUCUCUUUUUCUCCUUUUCCCAAUACAACUUGUUUUUGGCCACUCUGCACUGAGCAAAAUGACUAGAAGGAAAACCUCACCUCAAAAGAAAGAAUCAGAAACAGUCUUCUCUCCCACAGAGUUACAAAAUCUGGAUUACAAUUCAAUGUCAGAAAGCCAAUUCAGAAGCACUAUUAUAAAACUACUGGUGGCUCUAGAAAAAAGCAUAAAGGACUCAAGAGACUUCAUGACUGCAGAAUUUAGAUCUAAUCAGGCAGAAAUUAAAAAUCAAUUGAAAGAGAUGCAAUCCAAACUAGAAGUCCUAACGAGGAGGGUUAACGAGGUGGAAGAACACGAGGAGUGAGUGACAUAGAAGACAAGUUGAUGGCAAAGAGGGAAACUGAGGAAAAAAGAGACAAAAGACUAUGAAGAUAGAUUAAGGGAAAUAAACGACAGCCUGAGGAAGAAAAACCUACGUUUAUUUGGGGUUCCCGAGGGCGCUGAAAGGGACAGAGGGCCAGAAUAUGUAUUUGAACAAAUCCUAGCUGAAAACUUUCCUAAUCUGGGAAGGGAAACAGGCAUUCAGAUCCAGGAAAUAGAGAGACCCCCCCCCCCCAAAUCAAUAAAAACCGUUCAACACCUCGACACUUAAUAGUGAAGCUUGCAAAUUCCAAAGAUAAAGAGAAGAUCCUUAAAGCAGCAAGAGACAAGAAAUCCCUGACUUUUAUGGGGAGGAGUAUUAGGGUAACAGCAGACCUCUCCACAGAGACCUGGCAGGCCAGAAGGGGCUGGCAGGAUAUAUUCAGGGUCCUCAACGAGAAGAACAUGCAACCAAGAAUACUUUAUCCAGCAAGGCUCUCAUUCAGAAUGGAAGGAGAGAUAAAGAGCUUCCAAGACAGGCAGGAACUGAAAAAAUAUGUGACCUCCAAACCAGCUCUGCAAGAAAUUUUAAGGGGGACUCUUAAAAUUCCCCUUUAAGAAGAAGUCCAGUGGAACAAUCCACAAAAACAAGGACUGAAUAGAUAUCAUGAUGACCCUAAACUCAUACCUUUCAACAGUAACUCUGAACGUGAACAGGCUUAAUGACCCCAUCAAAGGUGCAGGGUUUCAGACUGGAUAAAAAAGCAGGACCCAUCUAUUUCCUGUCUACAAGAGACUCAUUUUAGACAGAAGGACACCUACAGCCUGAAAAUAAAAGGUUGGAGAACCAUUUACCAUUCAAAUGGUCCUCAAAAGAAAGCAGGGGUAGCCAUCCUUAUAUCAGAUAAACUAAAAUUUACCCCGAAGACUGUAGUGAGUGACGAAGAGGGACACUAUAUCAUACUUAAAGGAUCUAUCCAACAAGAGGACUUAACAAUCCUCAAUAUAUAUGCCCCGAAUGUGGGAGCUGCCAAAUAUAUCAAUCAAUUCACAAGCAAAGUUAAGACAUACAUAGAUAAUAAUACACUUAUACUUGGUGACUUCAAUCUAGCGCUUUCUAUACUAGAUAGGUCUUCAAAGCACAACAUCUCCAAAGAAACGAGAGCUUUAAAUAAUACACUGGACCAGAUGGAUUUCACAGAUAUCUACAGAACUUUACAUCCAAACUCAACUGAAUACACAUUCUUCUCAAGUGCACAUGGAACUUUCUCU